Molecule: ribosomal RNA, 512 nt
Filed under: uncultured bacterium
Lineage: Bacteria
Description: partial 16S ribosomal RNA
Rfam family: Bacterial small subunit ribosomal RNA
Source: RNAcentral
GACGAACGCUGGCGGCGUGCCUAAUACAUGCAAGUCGAGCGAGCGGAACUAACAGAUUUACUUCGGUAAUGACGUUAGGACAGCGAGCGGCGGAUGGGUGAGUAACACGUGGGGAACCUGCCCCAUAGUCUGGGAUACCACUUGGAAACAGGUGCUAAUACCGGAUAAGAAAGCAGAUCGCAUGAUCAGCUUUUAAAAGGCGGCGUAAGCUGUCGCUAUGGGAUGGCCCCGCGGUGCAUUAGCUAGUUGGUAAGGUAAAGGCUUACCAAGGCGAUGAUGCAUAGCCGAGUUGAGAGACUGAUCGGCCACAUUGGGACUGAGACACGGCCCAAAAUCCUACGGGAGGCAGCAGUAGGGAAUCUUCCACAAUGGACGCAAGUCUGAUGGAGCAACGCCGCGUGAGUGAGGAAGGUUUUCGGAUCGUAAAGCUCUGUUGUUGGUGAAGAAGGAUAGAGGUAGUAACUGGCCUUUAUUUGACGGUAAUCAACCAGAAAGUCACGGCUAACUACGUG